CUACGUGCCAGCAGCCGCGGUAAUACGUAGGGCGCGAGCGUUGUCCGGAAUUAUUGGGCGUAAAGAGCUCGUAGGCGGCUGGUCGCGUCUGUCGUGAAAUCCUCUGGCUUAACUGGGGGCGUGCGGUGGGUACGGGCCGGCUUGAGUGCGGUAGGGGAGGCUGGAAUUCCUGGUGUAGCGGUGGAAUGCGCAGAUAUUAGAAGGAACACCGAUGGCGUAGGCAGGUUACUGGGCCAUUUCUGACGCUAAGGCACGAAAGCGUGGGGAGCGAACCGGAUUAGAUACCCGGGUAGUCCACGCCGUAAACGAUGGAUACUAGCUGUUGGAGGUAUCGACCCCUUCAGUAGCGAAGCUAACGCGUUAAGUAUCCCGCCUGUGGAGUACGGCCGCAAGGCUAAAACAUAAAGGAAUUGACGGGGACCCGCACAAGCGGUGGAUUAUGUUCUUUAAUUCGAUGAUAACCGAAGAACCUUACCAGGGCUUGACAUCCAG
RNAcentral lists this ribosomal RNA (492 nucleotides) under uncultured bacterium. RNAcentral's name for it is "bacterial SSU rRNA". It matches the Rfam family "Bacterial small subunit ribosomal RNA", at positions 501 to 991 of the family's 1533-position model. The record is from RNAcentral.